CGGGGUGCCCGAGGCUUCGAUUACUUUACCAUGCUUGAAACCGUGAUUAGGGGACACCGAGUGCCAGCAUCAUAUGCUGGCUGUCCAGGUGUGUAAAAUACACCUGUUACCAAGGGCCGGGCAAGACCGGUGCCAACCGCCGCGGUAACACCGGCGGCCCGAGUGGUGAUCGUGAUUAUUGGGUCUAAAGGGUCCGUAGCCGGUUUGGUCAGUCCUCCGGGAAAUCUGAUAGCUUAACUAUUAGGCUUUCGGAGGAUACUGCCAGACUUGGAACCGGGAGAGGUAAGAGGUACUACAGGGGUAGGAGUGAAAUCUUGUAAUCCCUGUGGGACCACCUGUGGCGAAGGCGUCUUACCAGAACGGGUUCGACGGUGAGGGACGAAAGCUGGGGGCACGAACCGGAUUAGAUACCCGGGUAGUCCCAGCCGUAAACGAUGCUCGCUAGGUGUCAGGCAUGGCGCGACCGUGUCUGGUGCCGCAGGGAAGCCGUGAAGCGAGCCACCUGGGAAGUACGGCCGCAAGGCUGAAACUUAAAGGAAUUGGCGGGGGAGCAC
Molecule: ribosomal RNA, 554 nt
Filed under: uncultured archaeon
Lineage: Archaea
Description: bacterial SSU rRNA
Rfam family: Archaeal small subunit ribosomal RNA
Source: RNAcentral